GAAAUCUUUUUUUGACAGAGUUUGUUUUAUUUCGUCAGUUCGUCGAGUUUUCGAAUAAUUCCAAUAACCCCUCUCGCCCAUUCCUUUUCCAAAUAUCCCACGGCGUAACCCUAAACCAAUAUAACUUUCCCGGUUUUUCGAAUCUGCUGAUUUUCUUUGUAAAAGUAAAAUACUUGUCCCCGACACUCACUUAUACGCGAAACUUUUAGUCGCAAUAUGCAUC
Molecule: non-coding RNA, 223 nt
Organism: Cinara cedri
Lineage: Eukaryota; Metazoa; Arthropoda; Insecta; Hemiptera; Aphididae
Source: the annotation of a GenBank genome assembly